UCAAAUGAAUUAAGGCUUACGGCGGAGACCUAGGCACCCAGAGACGAUGAAGGGCGCAGAUACCGGCGAUACGCUUCGGGGAGCUGGUAACAAGCUUUGAUCCGAAGAUCCCCGAAUAGGGCAACCUCAAGAACUUCCUAUGAAUUCAUAAGUAGGAUAGAGACAACCCGGCGAAUUGAAACAUCUUAGUAGCUGGAGGAAAAGAAAGCAAAAGCGAUUCCCGUAGUAGCGGCGAGCGAACCGGGAACAGCCUAAACCUGUAAAAAGGGGUAGUGGGAAGACUAGAAUUUUUAAUGCUCGAUCAAGGAAAUAACAGUUGAUCGAGAGCAACGGAAAUGUGGAAGACGAAGCAGCUGAAUCCUGCACCAUAGACGGUGAAAGUCCCGUAGUUACAAACAUUUUCUCUCUCGCUUAUACCCUAUAAACCCCCUCACCCCCUUUAUAUCCCCCUUAUAUCCCCCUUUAUAUCCCCCUUAUAUCCCCCUUCUGGGGAUAUAAGGGGGUGAAGGGGGAUAUAAGGGGGUGAAGGGGGAUAUAAGGGAGGUGUAACAAAAAGGGUAAACAGCUUACCCCCUUUUUGGGGGGGUAUAUAGAGAUAUUAAAAAAGUCAUAUCCCGAGUAGCAUGGGACACGUGGAAUCCCGUGUGAAUCAGCGAGGACCACCUCGUAAGGCUAAAUACUCCUGGGUGAUCGAUAGUGUAAAGUACCGCGAGGGAAUGGUGAUAAGAACCCCUGUAGGGGAGUGAAAUAGAACAUGAAACCGUAAGCUGACAAGCAGUGGGAGGAGUAGCUUUGCUACCUGACCGCGUGCCUGUUGAAGAAUGAGCCAGCGACUUAUAGGGAGUGGCAAGGUUAAGGAGUUAAAUCCGGAGCCUUAGCGAAAGCGAGUCUUAAUAGGGCGUACGAGUCACUUCUUAUGGACCCGAACCCGGGUGAUCUAAUCAUGACCAGGUUGAAGCUUGGGUAACACCACGUGGAGGACCGAACCGACCGAUGUUGAAAAAUCGGCGGAUGAGUUGUGAUUAGCGGAGAAAUUCCAAUCGAACUCGGAGCUAGCUGGAUCUCCCCGAAAUGCGUUGAGGCGCAGCGGUGACUAAGAGCUAUCUAGGGGUAAAGCUACUGUUUCGAUGCGGGCUGCGAAAGCGGUACCAAGUCGUGGCAAACUCAGAAUACUAGAUAAUGCCUUCAGUCAACCAGUGAGAUUUAUCGGGAUAAGCUGAUAAAUCAAGAGGGAAACAGCCCAGAUCACCAGCUAAGGCCCCUAAAUGGUAACUAAGUGGAGAAGGAUGUGAUAUUGCUGAAACAACCAGGAGGUUCGCUUAGAAGCAGCUACCCUUGAAAGAGUGCGUAAUAGCUCACUGGUAAAGCGAUGUUGCGCCGACAAUGGCCGGGACUAAGUUACCUGCCGAAGCUGUGAUAUUUGAUUUUUAAGAUGAAAUUCUUAAAAAAAGCAAAUAGGUAGGGGAGCGUUCCAUUUGCGGGUGAAGCUUUCACGGAAGUGGGGGUGGACGUAAUGGAAGUGAGAAUGUUGGCUUGAGUAACGAAAACAUUGGUGAGAAUCCAAUGCCCCGAAAACCUAAGGGUUCCUCCACUAGGCUCGUCCAUGGGGGGUUAGUCAGGUCCUAAGGCUAGUUAAAUUUAUUUAAGUCGUCGAUGGAAAACAGGUUAAUAUUCCUGUACUGGUUUGAUUGGGAACCGAGGGACGGAGAAGACUAAACUGGAACUGCUACUGGAUUUCAGUGGAAGCAUUUAGGUGUUGAAAGCUAGAAUAAAAACUAUGCUUGAGCUAAGAUGUGAUCCCUCUAUUAUGUUUAACAUGAUGGAGUCAGUGAUGUCAUACUUCCAAGAAAAGCUCGAACACUUUUAACAAUCAAAUCACCUGUACCUGAAACCGACACAGGUAGGUUGGUAGAGAAUACCAAGGGGCGCGAGAGAACUCUCUCUAAGGAACUCGGCAAACUGGCCCCGUAACUUCGGAAGAAGGGGCGCCCUCUAUUUUCGUUAAAAAUUAUAGAGGGUCGCAGUGACCAGGCUCUGGUAACUGUUUAUCAAAAACACAGGUUUCCGCAAAGUCGUAAGACGAUAUAUGGGAGCUGACGCCUGCCCAGUGCCGGAAGGUUAAGGAAGUUGGUUAUUAAGUAAUUAAGAAGCUGACGACCGAAGCCCCGGUGAACGGCGGCCGUAACUAUAACGGUCCUAAGGUAGCGAAAUUCAUUGCCAAGUAAGUUUUGGCCCGCACGAAUGGCGUAAUAAUCAGAGCACUGUCUCGGAGAGAGACUCGGUGAAAUAGACUUGUCCCGUGAAGAUGCGGACUACCUAAACCUGGACAGAAAGACCCUAUGAAGCUUGACUGUAUCCUGGAAUUGGGUUCGGGCUUUUCUUGCGCAGCCUAGGUGGGAGGCUAUGAAGGUUACCUUCCGGGGUAAUCUGAGCCAACAGUGAGAGACCACUCUGGGAAGGCUAGAAUCCUAAUGAUGAUCUUUGAAUCAAGACAUCUGACAGUUUCAGGUGGGCAGUUUAUCUGGGGCGGAUGCCUCAUAAAGUGUAACUGAGGCGUGCAAAGGUUCUCUCAGUCUGGACGGAAAUCAGACAUUGAGUGUAAAGGCAAAAGAGAGCUUGACUGUAAGACCAACAAGUCGAGCAGGGGCGAAAGCCGGCCUUAGUGAUCCGACGGUGCCGCGUGGAAGGGCCGUCGCUCAACGGAUAAAAGUUACUCUAGGGAUAACAGGCUGAUCUUCCCCAAGAGUUCACAUCGACGGGAAGGUUUGGCACCUCGAUGUCGGUUCAUCACAUCCUGGAGCGGCAGUACGUUCCAAGGGUUGGGCUGUUCGCCCAUUAAAGUGGUACGUGAGCUGGGUUCAGAACGUCGUGAGACAGUUUGGUCCAUAUCCGGUUUAGGCGUUAGAGCAUUGAGAGGAGCCUUCUCUAGUACGAGAGGAUUGUAGAAAGGUGAGCCUAUAGUGUACCAGUUAUUCUUCCAAGAGUAAACGCUGGGUAGCCAUGCUCAUAGGAAUAACUGCUGAAAGCAUCUAAGUAGGAAAUCCACCUCAAGAUGAUUGCUCUCCAUUAGAUCGCGGCUAGACAAGCCGUUUAAUAGGCAUCAGGUGUACAAUCAGUAAUGGUUUUAGCCAAGAUGUACUAAAGAUCGAUUGAUUUUGACCUU
RNAcentral lists this ribosomal RNA (3163 nucleotides) under Chlamydomonas priscui. RNAcentral's name for it is "Chlamydomonas sp. UWO 241 large subunit ribosomal RNA". It matches the Rfam family "Bacterial large subunit ribosomal RNA". The record is from RNAcentral. Lineage: Eukaryota; Viridiplantae; Chlorophyta; Chlorophyceae; Chlamydomonadales; Chlamydomonadaceae.